RNAcentral lists this ribosomal RNA (253 nucleotides) under uncultured bacterium. RNAcentral describes it as "partial 16S ribosomal RNA". It matches the Rfam family "Bacterial small subunit ribosomal RNA", at positions 524 to 776 of the family's 1533-position model. The record is from RNAcentral.
UACGUAGGGGGCUAGCGUUGUCCGGAUUUAUUGGGCGUAAAGAGCGUGUAGGCGGCCAUGUAGGUCCGGUGUGAAAACUCGAGGCUUAACCUCGAGAUGUCAUCGGAAACCAUUUGGCUAGAGUCCGGAAGAGGAGAGUGGAAUUCCUGGUGUAGCGGUGAAAUGCGUAGAUAUCAGGAGGAACACCGGUGGCGAAGGCGGUUCUCUGGGCAUGUCCUGACGCUGAGGAGCGAAAGUGUGGGGAGCGAACAGG